UUUAAGAUCCUUCUCAAAUAGUGUCUCCCCUGUAAAGCAAUUCCAGUAGAUGUAAUCUCUACAAACUUUUCACAGUUGCAAUGGUUAUCUUCAGUAUUAUGUAAAAGCUAUUUUGAGGCUUGUCUUCUUCCUUUUGUUAGAAUCUUGCAAAUUCUCUGAAGCCCAGACUUUAAGUUAUUCAUCUUUGCAUCCUCCAUUAUACCUAUCACAGAACUUAAGUACAAUAGGACCUCAGCCAGUGUUCCAGGAAAUAAAUUAAAUUGAAUGAAAUUUCCAUACAGUGAUAAGAAGGAGAUUACUGCUGCCCACGGGGAAAAAGGAGAACAGAAAUGGGAAAGCCGUAUUGAGAGGAUGUUUGAGAACUGUGAAAGACAGAAAGCAGACCAGAUUGCCAUGCCUAAACCACUUUCUUUGAAGUUUAUGGAAGCACCACUGCAUUUAUGCCAGAAGGUGAAAGUCCAGAACAGGUGCUUUUUGGUUUGAGAAUGAGUGUUCUACAUACUGGCCUGUAAGGCAGUGCUACUCCAAGUGUGGUCCACAGGCUGGCAGCAACAUCAUAGGGGAGUAUGUUAACAAUGCUGAUUCUCCAGCCCCAGCUCCGGACUCUGUUUUAACGGUCUAUCCAGGCAUGAAUUCUACUCAAGUGGCCUGCCCCUCAGCAGAAGUUGGACAGGUGCUUAUGUUGCAAUUAACAAAAAGGAUACAUGCUGGGUCCUGCAGUAAAUGUCUCCCUUGGAUCAUGAAGUCUUUUUACCAUGUUACUGGAACACAGAAGAUGAACAAACUGAAGCUAAAGAGAAGUAUUAUGUGUGCAAUGGCAUACAACCAUCUGAAAUGGAAAAAUAGAUUGUGUUCCUAUGAGCUUCCAUAAUACCAUGUGACUUCUCUGACAUAUGGAGGGUUUUGAGCCUGGGAAUGAGGCAUUGUCUGGUACUAUUGAGAACCAACUAACUUGGAGCCGUGUAUGAGCCACUGGGAAUAGACUAAAUGAGAUAAUCAACGUCUUGAUCUCAUAUUCUUUCAUUCUACAGAAGGAAGCAGGCAACAGGUUGCAAUACGAAGUGGAGUUAAAGCAACUAGAAGGAAGUGUCAGUAACCAAGCUGAGAGAGGCUGGAAGGAAAACAAUUCAUGCAGCAGAAAAGAAAGCCUUUUGAGCACUGUGAUGUCAGAAGGUGACUUGGAAGAUGAUCUAAAUGUUAAACUGGCAGUGAAGAGUGCCACAUCAUUGUUAUUCCCCCAAGAUCCUGGAUUCCAGACAGCCCAGUGGAGCACCAUAGAAAGAACUUUCAGGAAGCAGAGAAUGGUUCAGGGAUUCUGAUUUUCCUGAACUUCCUCCUCCCUAUCCACCUCCAAUUAGGAAAAAAGAAGAAAAAAAAGAUUAAACACGUCCAGAAUGUUAAAAAUCCAGUAGGGAUUUUAAAUGUUCACUAUUACAGCACAUACAUUUAUACACAAGGAGGUCUGAAGGCUUUCUGGUUUCAAUUAAGAUUAUUAUCUCCUUUGAGUGAUGGUUUCUCCUUUUUUCCCCCAGAAUUCCCUUUGGCUGAUCUAUUUUAAAAGAGUAUGAGCUAGGGAUAACUAGGCUUAUUUGUAUUGAGUCUACUUUCCCCUCCAGGUCUCUUUGUCUUAAAUUCUGAAGUCCCUUUUCCUAUCCUGCUAAAGGUUAGCAGCUUGAAAUCAAGGACAUGAGUCAUUGUUACUUUUCAUGUGGAAGAUAAGCUCUGUGGCUUUUAUAGCAAAAAGUAUAUACAAUUCUAAAAUUAAAGUGCAAGUCAGAAAGGCCAUUGGGGCUGUGAAAAGUCCUUAUCUAAAUCAGAAGACCAAGGUCAAGUUUGUAUCAUGCCUAUUAGUACAUGGGUUUCAUUGGUUAAGUUACCAAACCUCUGAGCCUCAGUUUCCUUAUCAGUCAAAUGAGUGCAAUAAUUCCCGCCCUAUCAUCUGACAAAUUAUUGAGAAAUUCUAAUUACAUGCCUAUAAUUUUCAGGUCUUUGUUUUUCAGGUCUUUGUUAAGCAUCAUGCACAUAAACGUUUGUAUUACACUUUCUUUAGCAGUAUUUGAACAUGGUACCUUAUUCAAUGUUCUGAAACAAAUCAUGAAUACUUCCUGGUGUGGUGAUAAUAUCUUCAUAAACUUGUGACACCCGAUGGAAUGUGAGUCGGUUUUGUAAUAGCCUUUAAAAACUUCCCUCAAUACAUAAUAAAGAAUGGUAAAAAAUUUUGGUUGAGGAAACUAAUGAUACAUCCAAAAUAACACAUUCAGUUUUCCAGUGAAGAAUAUUCUCAAAGUAAAAUGCUGUUUAGACUUACUUAAAGGUUCUUAAAACAAGUUAUACAAAGGGAUAGUAUUGAAAUCCAUCUUUUAAUAGAUAUAUACUAGUAAUUAUGUUGAAGACCCAGGAAAAUACUAUUAAUAGGUGUGAAAUUUAAAUCACACUAAUUAGUACUUUAAAAUAUUAUUCCUUCACGUUAUUUUAAAGAAGCUUUUCCUACAUGUGUGACCUAUUCUGUCAAACACAGCCAUGAAUAUCUAGUAUACUAAAUUGGUCCUAUUCUGACUCCAAUUUUCAAACACUUUUAACAUAGGACUAUAGAGUUCAUAUUUACAAAGUGUGUGCAUGCCUAUGUGUAUCACUAAUAUGUAGUAUAUGCAUACUAAAUAUGCACAUGGGUAUUUCAAACUCUGUUGGCUUGACUCUAAAUGUUCAGCUAUCGAUGUUAUUCUUGGUAUUUAGAGGUUUUAUUUAUAUAUUUAUCUUUCUUGACUUUCCCACUGGGAGGUGUCUUCUGAUAUUUCAGCCUCUAGCAUCUCAGUCCCAUACAUUCAGCCCUCACUGGGAAGUUUAAUUCCAGGUUACUAAUUUCAGAGCAUCCCAAAGAUGCUGUUUAGCUAGGUAGUGCCUUAAUAUAUCUUAGAAUUAAAAGAAAAUACUUUCUGUCUCUCAGGGCAUUUGAAAGCUCAAACUCUCCUCUUUGAACUUCCCUCUCUCAUUAUAUUGCCAUCACAAAUCUUUGUCCAUCACUAGGUGGUACAACUCCCCCUCCCCUCACCUGCCUCACACACAUAUGACCUACAGUGGAAAACUGAGCUCCAGAUGGUUCAUGGACUUGCCCAAAGUCACCUGUACCAUUGCUGACUUGGAACUUGAAUGUCCAAGCCUUCUAAAUCCUCAUCUGCAUUUUUCACAUUAGAGAAUUUUGAUCUCUGACUUCCAACAGUUAUUUCAGGAGAGGAAAAUGCAUGGCUUCACUAUCCAAUGGACUAAAAAAUUGAGUAAGGGAUAGAACAUAUUUUACACUCCAACUUGAAAACUUGUCGUAAUGAUGCUCUUCCAGCAUGAAGAAAUUAAAAUUGGCCUUCCUCUUCGUUCUCCUGAAUUGUUCACUGUAACUGAGUGGAGAUAUUUUAGGAGGGUUCUUACUGUGGCUUCUGAAGACCUUUUUCAGAAUAAGGUCUUUUUUUCAAAAACACCACACAAAAUACAAUACAAAAAUACAAUACAAAAAUUUUCAAAAAUACAGUAUUAGUUUGAAGCUUGGUAAGUUUUGACUAUUGCCUAUACCUAUGUAACUGCUACCUAAAACAAGAUAUAGAAAUAUUCUAACUUCCCAGAGAGAUUCUUCAUGCCCCUUUCAUUCAGUGUCAUCCCAGACCCCACAAAGGCAAUUCCUUCUGAUGGUAUGUAUGUAUUCUUUAGUGUCUGAUAUUUUUUAGAUUUAUUUAUAUUGUCAUAUGUAUCAGUAGGCCAUUCAUUUUUGUUGUUGAUGAAUAUUUCAUUGUGUGAAUAUGCUGCAAUUUGUUGAUUCAAAUACCUCCUGAUAGUUGUUUUCCGUUUGGGGCUGUUAAGAAUAAGGCUUCCAUAAAC
Molecule: long non-coding RNA, 3864 nt
Filed under: Homo sapiens (human)
Lineage: Eukaryota; Metazoa; Chordata; Mammalia; Primates; Hominidae
Description: HSALNT0382821
Source: RNAcentral